GAGUUUGAUCAUGGCUCAGAUUGAACGCUGGCGGCAUGCCUUACACAUGCAAGUCGAACGGCAGCACGGGAGCAAUCCUGGUGGCGAGUGGCGAACGGGUGAGUAAUAUAUCGGAACGUGCCCAGUCGUGGGGGAUAACGUAGCGAAAGCUACGCUAAUACCGCAUACGAUCUACGGAUGAGAGCGGGGGACUCGCAAGAGCCUCGCGCGAUUGGAGCGGCCGAUAUCAGAUUAGGUUGUUGGUGAGGUAAAAGCUCACCAAGCCUGCGAUCUGUAGCUGGUCUGAGAGGACGACCAGCCACACUGGAACUGAGACACGGUCCAGACUCCUACGGGAGGCAGCAGUGGGGAAUUUUGGACAAUGGACGCAAGUCUGAUCCAGCAAUGCCGCGUGCAGGACGAAGGCCUUCGGGUUGUAAACUGCUUUUGUACGGAACGAAACGGUCUUCUUUAAUACAGAGGGCUAAUGACGGUACCGUAAGAAUAAGCACCGGCUAACUACGUGCCAGCAGCCGCGGUAAUACGUAGGGUGCGAGCGUUAAUCGGAAUUACCGGGCGUAAAGCGUGCGCAGGCGGUUAUAUAAGUCAGAUGUGAAAUCCCCGGGCUCAACCUGGGACCUGCAUUUGAGACUGUAUAGCUAGAGUACGGUAGAGGGGGAUGGAAUUCCGCGUGUAGCAGUGAAAUGCGU
Molecule: ribosomal RNA, 689 nt
Filed under: uncultured bacterium
Lineage: Bacteria
Description: bacterial SSU rRNA
Rfam family: Bacterial small subunit ribosomal RNA
Source: RNAcentral